Athalia rosae (coleseed sawfly) is the source of this 752-nucleotide long non-coding RNA. RefSeq lists it as uncharacterized. Lineage: Eukaryota; Metazoa; Arthropoda; Insecta; Hymenoptera; Athaliidae. The transcript has 2 exons. The record is from RefSeq and is a predicted model, not a curated record.
UGUACAUACGUACGUACUGUUAGAAACAACGCACCCUGAUGACGCGUGACAUUCGGCACAUGCACAAAGUGUAGUCGCCUCCUUGAACCUCGAAACAUUUUCCAAAAGAUCGUACAGAACACAAGAAGUGCAAGUUCAGUUUGCUUCAAGCUCAACAGGUUACCUACAUCUCGGAGGCCUCCGUAAAGCUCUGUACAACUAUUUAUUCGCUCGGGCAAACCUGGGAAGUUUUGUUCUGCGCAUAGAAGACAGAUCAAACAGGACUUGUACCAGAUGCUACCGGUGAACCCAAAGGGGAUCUAUUUUGGGCUGGAAUCCUCCCGGACAAAGACCUGACAAGCUAUAGUUGAGUUUCGUCAUAUUUCCUCACCUCGCACUCAUUUUUAUUUUCAGGAGAGCAUUGGAUAGUCUCUGAAGCAACGGUGGCACCAUACUCGCAUAGAAAAUACAAGUUAUGCUUUUACUUGUACAUACACAGGUGAACUAUACAAUAUCCUGUACGGUGAUUUAUACAUCCAAUUAUUAUGUUUUCUGAGUGGAUAAUUAUGUAUAAAUAAAUAAUAAUGUAUAUGUCUCGUAUCUUAGAGAACAAGAAGUGAAUAAUUGAAUGUUAAUUAAAAUGAAACUAUCGUCCAUACUCUUGUAACGCAUUAAACAUAAGUAUACAAAAAUGAAUUGAUAUUGUCCAUUGCAAAGUCUCAAUAUGUAUUCUUUACGAUCAAUUUGUUAAUAAAAACUCAUUGUAACCAAAA